Molecule: ribosomal RNA, 253 nt
Filed under: uncultured bacterium
Lineage: Bacteria
Description: partial 16S ribosomal RNA
Rfam family: Bacterial small subunit ribosomal RNA
Source: RNAcentral
UACGGGGGGGGCAAGCGUUGUUCGGAAUUACUGGGCGUAAAGGGCUCGUAGGCGGCCAACUAAGUCAGACGUGAAAUCCCUCGGCUUAACCGGGGAACUGCGUCCGAUACUGGAAGGCUUGAAUCCGGGAGAGGGAUGCGGAAUUCCAGGUGUAGCGGUGAAAUGCGUAGAUAUCGAGAGGAACACCUGCGGCGAAGGCGGGUUGCUGGGCUGACACUGACGCUGAUGCGCGAAAGCCAGGGGAGCGAACGGG